This 112-nucleotide ribosomal RNA is filed under the name Clostridioides difficile. Lineage: Bacteria; Bacillati; Bacillota; Clostridia; Peptostreptococcales; Peptostreptococcaceae. The record is from RNAcentral.
AGUGGCGGAACUGGCAGACGCACUGUUCCCAUUCCGAACACAGAAGUUAAGCUCUCUAGCGCUGAUGGUACUUGGUGGGAAACUGCCUGGGAGAGUAGGACGUAGCCACGUU